Molecule: ribosomal RNA, 253 nt
Filed under: uncultured bacterium
Lineage: Bacteria
Description: partial 16S ribosomal RNA
Rfam family: Bacterial small subunit ribosomal RNA
Source: RNAcentral
UACGGGGGGGGCAAGCGUUGUUCGGAAUUACUGGGCGUAAAGGGCUCGUAGGCGGCCAACUAAGUCGGAUGUGAAAUCCCCAGGCUCAACUUGGGAACUGCAUCCGAUACUGGAUGGCUUGAAUCCGGGAGAGGGAUGCAGAAUUCCAGGUGUAGCGGUGAAAUGCGUAGAUAUCUGGAGGAAUACCGGUGGCGAAGGCGGCAUCCUGGACCGGCAUUGACGCUGAGGAGCGAAAGCCAGGGGAGCAAACGGG